Molecule: ribosomal RNA, 467 nt
Filed under: uncultured bacterium
Lineage: Bacteria
Description: partial 16S ribosomal RNA
Rfam family: Bacterial small subunit ribosomal RNA
Source: RNAcentral
ACGAACGCUGGCGGCGUGCUUAACACAUGCAAGUCGAACGGAAAGGCCCUGCUUUUGUGGGGUGCUCGAGUGGCGAACGGGUGAGUAACACGUGAGUAACCUGCCCUUGACUUUGGGAUAACUUCAGGAAACUGGGGCUAAUACCGGAUAGGAGCUCCUGCUGCAUGGUGGGGGUUGGAAAGUUUCGGCGGUUGGGGAUGGACUCGCGGCUUAUCAGCUUGUUGGUGGGGUAGUGGCCUACCAAGGCUUUGACGGGUAGCCGGCCUGAGAGGGUGACCGGCCACAUUGGGACUGAGAGACGGCCCAGACUCCUACGGGAGGCAGCAGUGGGGAAUAUUGCACAAUGGGCGGAAGCCUGAUGCAGCAACGCCGCGUGCGGGAUGACGGCCUUCGGGUUGUAAACCGCUUUCGCCUGUGACGAAGCGUGAGUGACGGUAAUGGGUAAAGAAGCACCGGCUAACUACGUG